This 257-nucleotide small RNA is filed under the name Arabidopsis thaliana (thale cress). RNAcentral describes it as "ATSL093870". Lineage: Eukaryota; Viridiplantae; Streptophyta; Magnoliopsida; Brassicales; Brassicaceae. The record is from RNAcentral.
UUCUUCUUCAUACGAUUUCAGAUAUAUCACCUCGUCUUCUUCUUCUACAUAUCCAAGAUCCACAUAUCUCCUUUCAUCUUCUUCUUUUCCGUCCAUCAUUAAUUCUUACUUCUUCUUCAACAUCCACGUUUCAUUAAGGUAAGUAUUCUUGUUUCUUAGUGGAGUAAUGUUUGACGUUCGUGUCUAUGGAUGAGAAAGGUUAAAUCGUAGUUUGAAUGCGUUUAAUUGUAGAAAAACUGAAACCAAGGUGUACAAAU